UACGUAGGGUGCGAGCGUUAAUCGGAAUUACUGGGCGUAAAGCGUGCGCAGGCGGUUUGGUAAGUCAGAUGUGAAAUCCCCGGGCUCAACCUGGGAACUGCAUUUGAGACUGCCAAGCUGGAGUUUGGCAGAGGGGGGUGGAAUUCCACGUGUAGCAGUGAAAUGCGUAGAGAUGUGGAGGAACACCGAUGGCGAAGGCAGCCCCCUGGGCCAAUACUGACGCUCAUGCACGAAAGCGUGGGGAGCAAACAGGAUUAGAAACCCUAGUAGUCC
RNAcentral lists this ribosomal RNA (273 nucleotides) under uncultured prokaryote. RNAcentral's name for it is "partial 16S ribosomal RNA". It matches the Rfam family "Bacterial small subunit ribosomal RNA", at positions 524 to 796 of the family's 1533-position model. The record is from RNAcentral.